GAUGAACGCUGGCGGCGUGCCUAACACAUGCAAGUCGAGCGCGAUUAAGUGGAGUGAGAACUUCGGUUCAAGUGAAGCUUAUGAAAGCGGCGGACGGGUGAGUAACGCGUGGGGUAACCUGCCCCAUACAAAGGGAUAGCCACUGGAAACGGUGAUUAAUACCUUAUAAGUCGGGUAGUCUCGCAUGAGACAGCCGACAAAGAUUUAUCGGUAUGGGAUGGACCCGCGUCUGAUUAGCUAGUUGGUGAGGUAACGGCUCACCAAGGCGACGAUCAGUAGCCGACCUGAGAGGGUGAUCGGCCACACUGGAACUGAGACACGGUCCAGACUCCUACGGGAGGCAGCAGUGGGGAAUAUUGCACAAUGGGCGCAAGCCUGAUGCAGCAACGCCGUCGUGAGUGAU
RNAcentral lists this ribosomal RNA (403 nucleotides) under uncultured bacterium. RNAcentral describes it as "bacterial SSU rRNA". It matches the Rfam family "Bacterial small subunit ribosomal RNA", at positions 28 to 409 of the family's 1533-position model. The record is from RNAcentral.